CUACGCACUCCUACGGGAGGCAGCAGUGGGGAAUAUUGCACAAUGGGCGCAAGCCUGAUGCAGCCAUGCCGCGUGUAUGAAGAAGGCCUUCGGGUUGUAAAGGUACUUUCAGCAGUGAGGAAGGUGGGUAUGUUAAUAGCAUACUCAUUUGACGUUAGCUGCAGAAGAAGCACCGGCUAACUCCGUGCCAGCAGCCGCGGUAAUACGGAGGGUGCGAGCGUUAAUCGGAAUUACUGGGCGUAAAGCGCAUGCAGGUGGUUUGUUAAGUCAGAUGUGAAAGCCCGGGGCUCAACCUCGGAAUUGCAUUUGAAACUGGCAAACUAGAGUACUGUAGAGGGGGUAGAAUUUCAGGUGUAGCGGUGAAAUGCGUAGAGAUCUGAAGGAAUACCGGUGGCGAAGGCGGCCCCCUGGACAGAUACUGACACUCAGAUGCGAAAGCGUGGGGAGCAAACAGGAUUAGAUACCCUGGUAG
Molecule: ribosomal RNA, 472 nt
Filed under: uncultured bacterium
Lineage: Bacteria
Description: bacterial SSU rRNA
Rfam family: Bacterial small subunit ribosomal RNA
Source: RNAcentral